This 468-nucleotide ribosomal RNA is filed under the name uncultured bacterium. RNAcentral describes it as "partial 16S ribosomal RNA". It matches the Rfam family "Bacterial small subunit ribosomal RNA", at positions 28 to 507 of the family's 1533-position model. The record is from RNAcentral.
GACGAACGCUGGCGGCGUGCUUAACACAUGCAAGUCGAACGGAAAGGCCCUGCUUUUGUGGGGUGCUCGAGUGGCGAACGGGUGAGUAACACGUGUGUAACCUGCCCUUGACUUUGGGAUAACUUCAGGAAACUGGGGCUAAUACCGUAUCGGAGCUCCUGCUGCCUGGUGGGGGUUGGAAAGUUUCGGCGGUUGGGGAUGGACUCGCGGCUUAUCAGCUUGUUGGUGGGGUGGUGGCUUACCAAGGCUUUGACGGGUAGCCGGCCUGAGAGGGUGACCGGCCACAAUGGGACUGAGAUACGGCCCAGACUCCUACGGGGGGCAGCAGUGGGGAAUAUUGCACAAUGGGCGGAAGCCUGAUGCAGCAACGCCGCGUGCGGGAUGACGGCCUUCGGGUUGUAAACCGCUUUCGCCUGUGACGAAGCGGGAGUGACGGUAAUGGGUAAAGAAGCACCGGCUAACUACGUG